This 618-nucleotide ribosomal RNA is filed under the name uncultured bacterium. Its description in RNAcentral is "bacterial SSU rRNA". The stretch from base 1 to 534 matches the Rfam family "Bacterial small subunit ribosomal RNA", at positions 338 to 873 of the family's 1533-position model. The record is from RNAcentral.
CCUACGGGAGGCAGCAGUAAGGAAUAUUGGUCAAUGGACGAAAGUCUGAACCAGCCAUGCCGCGUGAAGGAUUAAGGUCCUCUGGAUUGUAAACUUCUUUUAUAGGGGACGAAAAAAGGGCAUUCUUGCUCUCUUGACGGUACCCUGUGAAUAAGCACCGGCUAACUCCGUGCCAGCAGCCGCGGUAAUACGGAGGGUGCAAGCGUUAUCCGGAUUCACUGGGUUUAAAGGGUGCGUAGGCGGGUAGGUAAGUCAGUGGUGAAAUCUCGGAGCUUAACUCCGAAACUGCCAUUGAUACUAUCUAUCUUGAAUAUUGUGGAGGUUUGCGGAAUAUGUCAUGUAGCGGUGAAAUGCAUAGAUAUGACAUAGAACACCUAUUGCGAAGGCAGCAGGCUACACAUAUAUUGACGCUGAGGCACGAAAGCGUGGGGAUCAAACAGGAUUAGAUACCCUGGUAGUCCACGCCCUAAACGAUGAUUACUCGACAUACGUGAUACACUAUGUGUGUNUGAGNGAAGANAUAAGUAAUACACCNGGAGUACGUCCGCGAGAGAGAACGUACGAAAGAAGUAGACGGACGUAGAGACGAGCCGACGGACGACGACGAGGGGAGGAGGG